This 522-nucleotide ribosomal RNA is filed under the name Triticum aestivum (bread wheat). RNAcentral's name for it is "partial small subunit ribosomal RNA". Lineage: Eukaryota; Viridiplantae; Streptophyta; Magnoliopsida; Poales; Poaceae. The record is from RNAcentral.
AUGGCCAGUCGGUGCCGCUCCUCCUCUCGCCCCUCCAGCCCUCGGCCCGGAGAUUGGGGGCGGUGUUCCGUCCCGCAUAGCAAGUUAGUAGUGCUUCAGUCCAAGGGGCUUCUCCCCCCAGCAUAUAUGGUCCCAUUUCGAGCCGGGAUUGCUGCCUAUAGCGGCGGAGAGCAAGCGGAGGGCGUUCCCAAUCCCUCUCAAGGAGAGCGGGUAUGCUUAGUCCCUUAUUUGAUGAGAGGACUAGGAUUUCCAAUUCAUCCAUUUCUCCGAGGGUUGCUGGAGUUCUACGGCCUCCAGCUACAUAACCUCACGCCCGCCUCCAUUUUCCACAUCGCGGGCUUCGUGGCCCUCUGCGAGCUGUUCUUGGGUGUUGAGGCCCAUUUCGUGCUGUGGGAGAGGUUGUUUUGCCUUGUGCCCCGUUCUCAGGAGGGGUCUAUUUAUCAGGUGGGCGGAGCCGAACUAUGGCGCAUCGCCGGGACCGGAUAUCUAUCCGGCACCCCAAAGAGGGCGUCCGAAGACUAG